GGGGGUAUAGCUCAAUGGUAGAGCAUUCGACUGCAGAUUGAGAAGUCCUUGGUUCAAUCCCGGGUAUCCCCU
This 72-nucleotide transfer RNA is filed under the name Trichonephila inaurata madagascariensis. It matches the Rfam family "tRNA". Rfam says of the family: Transfer RNA (tRNA) molecules are approximately 80 nucleotides in length. Lineage: Eukaryota; Metazoa; Arthropoda; Arachnida; Araneae; Nephilidae. The record is from Rfam by way of RNAcentral.